RNAcentral lists this ribosomal RNA (408 nucleotides) under uncultured bacterium. RNAcentral's name for it is "partial 16S ribosomal RNA". It matches the Rfam family "Bacterial small subunit ribosomal RNA", at positions 28 to 526 of the family's 1533-position model. The record is from RNAcentral.
GACGAACGCUGGCGGCGUGCUUAACACAUGCAAGUCGAACGAAGUGGCGAACGGGUGAGUAAUACGUGGGUAACCUGCCCUCCUUUUUGGGAUAAGCCUUGGAAACGGGGUCUAAUACCGAAUAAAGGGGGAUGGGCUCGCGGCCUAUCCGCUUGUUGGUGGGGUGAUGGACGAACAAGGCGGUGACGGGUUGCCUGCCUGAGAGGGUGCACGGCAACAGUGGGACUGAGCUACGGCCCAGACUCCUACGGGAGGCAGCAGUGGGCGAUAUUGCACAAUGGGCGAAAGCGUGAUGCAGCGACGCCGAGUGGGGGAUGAAGGCUGUCGGGUUGUAAACCUCUUUCGCUAUCGAAGGGGUAGGUGGAGAAGAAGCGCCGGCUAACUACGUGCCAGCAGCCGCGGUAAUUC